This 1022-nucleotide long non-coding RNA is filed under the name Mytilus galloprovincialis (Mediterranean mussel). Lineage: Eukaryota; Metazoa; Mollusca; Bivalvia; Mytilida; Mytilidae. The record is from RNAcentral.
AAGGGGUUUAACUGUUAUGGGGCAUUUUAAUUCUUUGUUAUCUGUUAUUCUGAAAAUAUAUUUACUGUUAGCUGUAAUGGUCUUAUUCUUUGUUAGCUGUUAUAGGACUAUUAUCUAUUUUGUUAUCUGUUAUUGUGAGAAUCUAUUUGCUGUUAACUGUUAUCGAAAAUUGGAAUGUUAGCAUUUUGACAGCCAAUCUUCCGUAGAAAUUGAGGAUAACUGAAAAUUGUGAUUUGAAUGGAUAAUAGUCUCAUUGGCACGCUUACCAUAUCUUCUUACAAUGUAUAUCUAUUGGGGUCUUUCUACUAGUAAUAUCAGGUGGCCCUAUGCAGAAGAAUUUCAGUAACAUACAUCACAUAAACAUAUAAAAUCAAUUGGACCCAGGACCAUUCCAGUAUAUAUUAUUAUUAUCCUUUGUAAUAAAUUCCAUUGUCUGUGAACAUGUAGCAUUUUGUACAAAUUAUAAUUCACUUAUUACUUGUACAAUAACUUAUAGUAUGGAUUUUGUUAUAAAAAAAGUAUUGGUACACCCUUUAGAUUUUUUUUAUUCAAUGACCACAUAAUAAUCUUUAUGUUGUACAUACUAUUACACCACUGUCCCUGAUUAGGGGAGGAUUGGACACCAACUAGCAUGGUAAAGUUGACGCAGUCACAUUCUGUAUGUGCCUAUUUCCAAGUCAGGAGCCUGGAUUCAGUGGUUGUAGUUUGUUACUGUGUUAUUAAGUGUGUUUUAACUGCUUCACAUGGCGAAAAUUAAAGCUCAGAAACCAUUGAUUCAAAUACAGAUGUGUCUUCAGUUUAAUUUUUCGACAAAUACCCUUUUUAAAAUCCUACAGCUUCUCCAAUGCUGUACCCAAAUUUUCCAUAUUCUACAAUUUCACAUAAGAUACAUGAUUGGUGUUUCACUUGGUGUCAUCCAAAUUUUCACUAGGUCCAAUUUCUAUUAUACUAUCAGAAUUGUCACUUGAGUCAAUGUCUAUUAUCAGAAUAACCAUAACUGGCAUGCGUGUUUCAGUUACAUG